UACGAAGGGGGCUAGCGUUGUUCGGAUUUACUGGGCGUAAAGCGCACGUAGGCGGAUUGUUAAGUCAGGGGUGAAAUCCCGGAGCUCAACUCCGGAACUGCCUUUGAUACUGGCAAUCUUGAGACUGGAAGAGGUUAGUGGAAUUCCCAGUGUAGAGGUGAAAUUCGUAGAUAUUGGGAAGAACACCAGUGGCGAAGGCGGCUAACUGGUCCAGUACUGACGCUGAGGCACGAAAGCGUGGGGAGCAAACAGG
This 253-nucleotide ribosomal RNA is filed under the name uncultured bacterium. RNAcentral describes it as "partial 16S ribosomal RNA". It matches the Rfam family "Bacterial small subunit ribosomal RNA", at positions 524 to 776 of the family's 1533-position model. The record is from RNAcentral.